UCAGUCUGAAAAUGAAAGUGAAAGAUUUAUUGCCAAAGUCGCCAUUUGAUCAAGAAACACGAAUACAAUUCUGGAAUGGUAUAAACAUCUUUUGUAUUCCAAGGCGCAAUCCUGCUUCCUGUAAUCUGUGGAGGACCACCUUUAAGCAAGUUUCAUGCUCGACUGAUGAGAAGACGAUAAUGUCAUCGAGCUAUGAACAAACUCCAGUGUUCCGAUGGACAGAGCAGCUGUUCCUGUACCCAGCUGGAUUUCUGUGAAGAGUGACAGCUCAAUGGACCUUCCAUACCACUUCAGAGAGGGACAUUUUCCUGCAGGUCAAAGGUAAAUGUGCAUUUAAGCAAACACUAUUUCAAACACUCAGACUCU
Molecule: long non-coding RNA, 366 nt
Organism: Brienomyrus brachyistius
Lineage: Eukaryota; Metazoa; Chordata; Actinopteri; Osteoglossiformes; Mormyridae
Exons: 3
Source: RefSeq, a predicted model, not a curated record